UUUCGGAUCGUAUACUCUGUUGUUAGGGACGAACAUGUGCAUAGUACUGAUGGCGCUUGACGGUACUAAACAGAAAGCCACGGCUAACUACGUGCCAACAGCCGCGGUAAUACGUAUGUGGCCAGCGUUGUCCGGAAUUAUUGGGCGUAAAGCGCUCGCAGGCGGCUCUUUAAGUCUGAUGUGAAAUCUUACGGGCUCAACCUGUAAACGUGCAUUGGAAACUGGGGAACUUGAGUGCAGAAGAGGAGAGUGGAAUUCCACGUGUAGCGGUGAAAUGCGUAGAGCAUGUGGAGUGAACACCAGUGGCGAAGGCGACUCUCUGGUCUUGUAACUGACGCUGAGGAGCGAAAGCGUGGGGAGCGAACAGGAUUAGAUACCCUGGUAGUCCACGCCGUAAACGAUGAGUUGCUAGGUGUCAGGGGGUAACCGACCCUUAGUGCUGAAGUUAACGCAUUACGCACUCCGACUGGGGAGUACGGCCGCCAAUGCUGAACACUCCAACAGAUUGACGGGGCCCGCACACGCGGUGGAGCCAUGUGGUUAAUCCGAAGGACCGGAAAAACCUACAGGUCUUGACAUCU
RNAcentral lists this ribosomal RNA (581 nucleotides) under uncultured bacterium. Its description in RNAcentral is "bacterial SSU rRNA". It matches the Rfam family "Bacterial small subunit ribosomal RNA", at positions 416 to 989 of the family's 1533-position model. The record is from RNAcentral.